This 230-nucleotide ribosomal RNA is filed under the name uncultured microorganism. RNAcentral's name for it is "partial 16S ribosomal RNA". It matches the Rfam family "Bacterial small subunit ribosomal RNA", at positions 524 to 753 of the family's 1533-position model. The record is from RNAcentral.
UACGAAGGGUGCAAGCGUUACUCGGAAUUACUGGGCGUAAAGCGUGCGUAGGUGGUGGUUUAAGUCUGCUGUGAAAGCCCUGGGCUCAACCUGGGAAUUGCAGUGGAUACUGGAUUACUAGAGUGUGGUAGAGGGAUGCGGAAUUUCUGGUGUAGCAGUGAAAUGCGUAGAGAUCAGAAGGAACAUCCGUGGCGAAGGCGGCAUCCUGGGCCAACACUGACACUGAGGCA